This 268-nucleotide ribosomal RNA is filed under the name uncultured archaeon. RNAcentral describes it as "partial 16S ribosomal RNA". It matches the Rfam family "Archaeal small subunit ribosomal RNA", at positions 747 to 1009 of the family's 1478-position model. The record is from RNAcentral.
CACGCCGUAAACAAAUGUGCGUUAGGUGUGUCGGUAACCACGCGUUACUGAUGCGCCGAAGAGAAAUACGUGAAACGCACCACCUGGGAAGUACGGUCGCAAGGCUGAAACUUAAAGGAAUUGGCGGGGGGAGGCACCACAACAGGUGGAGCCUGCGGGUUUAAUUUGGAUUCAACGCCGGAAACUACAUCGGGAGCGACAGCAGUAUGAUUGCCAGGUUGAUGACCUUGCUUGACAAGCUGAGAGGAGGUGCAUGGCGUAGUCGUGU